UACGAAGGGGGCUAGCGUUGUUCGGAAUUACUGGGCGUAAAGCGCGCGCAGGCGGUUCUUCAAGUCAGUGGUGAAAGCCCGGAGCUCAACUCCGGAACUGCCAUUGAAACUGUAGAACUUGAGGACGAGAGAGGUGAGUGGAAUUCCCAGUGUAGAGGUGAAAUUCGUAGAUAUUGGGAAGAACACCGGUGGCGAAGGCGGCUCACUGGCUCGUUUCUGACGCUCAGGCGCGAUAGCGUGGGGAUCAAACAGG
Molecule: ribosomal RNA, 253 nt
Filed under: uncultured bacterium
Lineage: Bacteria
Also listed under: 1 other name
Description: partial 16S ribosomal RNA
Rfam family: Bacterial small subunit ribosomal RNA
Source: RNAcentral